AAGGGGGAAAAAAAUAACUCCAAAUGCCCCUGAAGAAAGAUGCUACAUGAGUCAAUAGGAAGAUGACUGAACAAUUUAUUAGGAUUGCGCUGGAAGCUGUUUAUUUAUGGCUGCAAAUGUGUGUGUGCAAGAGAGAGGGAGAAUUGAUCUUUGCCUGGACUUAAAGAUGGAGCCGAAGGCGCUGGAGGGAAUUUGGGUUUGUGCGUCUGGCUCAGACCCUGGGCGCCGAACGGGGCCGCUUGGCAUGGAGCCCGAGGUCUUUCUUUGCCGCACCCCUCACCUCGAGACCUUGCAGGAAUCCGCGGGCCCAGGAGCGGCCUGACGGGCCCAUCUGCCCCGGGCCCGGCUGCCGAGAAAGGCUUCGUGGAGGGGGCCAUCCAGUCCCUGUCUUUAAAAUGAGCGCAAUAAAAGGGGGCAAAUCCUCAAACGCGAACCUGAUCGCUUGUCACAGAAGCAACUUGCCAUGAAAUCCGCUAAUGCGCCGCGACUCGCCCACCGGGAUCAGUAACCCCCGGCAUUGGGGUAACCAGCGCGCGCCCAAUGCAGUCGUAUUCCUCGAAUGCGCGCACCGCCCGCCACACUUGGAGAAUCCAGACCACAGAGGUUUCGGAAACCCCAUUUUCCUGAUUGCAGCCCAGACUCUGGAACCCCGCAAGCCUUCCGGGGAAGCGAGCCCAAUCCAGACCAAGCAGACCUCUGGCGCUGCCGGGUUCGUACAACCACUAAAGCAGCGUCAUCUUGAGAGUUAUUUUGGGGAAAAAGACCUGGGACCUGGGUUUGAGUUAAAGACGUUAGAGGCAAGGGACAGAUGGCCCAGCAUUUCUUUGGAACGAGGCAGAACUGAGAACUACCCAGCUGGACCAGCAUUGCCGAAAACUGGAGAUUAGGAAAUGUGUUCUCCUCGCACACACAGUAGCACACAUCUCCUCCGACGGCGAGCUCACCCCUACGCCAGGGGCCUCUGGCUCCGCCGCUGCGUUUCCCAGACGCCCUUUCGGCCUCCUCCAAGUUUUGCCAGGCAAAUGAAACGAGCAGAACUCGAUGGUAAAUUAUUUUGUUCAGCCUUCCGUCUUUUUAUAAAAAUAAAAGGCAACACUUUGUCAUUUUUAAUCAUAUAAGCAGACAAUAAACCUAAUUUCGAUAUU
This 1145-nucleotide long non-coding RNA is filed under the name Equus asinus (donkey). RNAcentral describes it as "lncRNA (ENSEASG00005026059.1)". Lineage: Eukaryota; Metazoa; Chordata; Mammalia; Perissodactyla; Equidae. The record is from RNAcentral.